AGGAGCCGGCUACGAGGCGCAGAAGCAGGAGCCAGUGGGAAGAGGUAGGAGCGGACGGCGGCAAGGCGGAACUGGCGUGAUGGGCCUGGAAACGUGAUCCGUUUCUGAAUCGCGGUGGUUUCCAGGAUCGUAAAUCAAGUGGUGGAUGGAUUGACUGCUUGUUGGACAGUUGGAGUUGGAAUUUGCUUCAGUUUUUUGCAUCAACGUGAAUCCUAUUCUCCUUCUUUGAACGUGCAUGUGAUGGAUGGAUAUCUAGUCAUUUUCUCCUUCUC
RNAcentral lists this long non-coding RNA (272 nucleotides) under Hordeum vulgare. RNAcentral describes it as "long non-coding RNA (HVUL_LNC010432)". The record is from RNAcentral. Lineage: Eukaryota; Viridiplantae; Streptophyta; Magnoliopsida; Poales; Poaceae.